CUGGUCCAGGUUAAGAACAGUGCAAACAGGAUCAUGGUUCAGAAAGAAACUGAACAUUCCAUAUUAGAUAGUAACUAGAGCUGGAGUGGGUAAGAAGAUAGGCAACUGGGACUUAGGCUCAAAUACAGCACGAGUAAGAAGCUUGCCUUGUGUGAGGGAGGACUCCACGCUGCCAGACUACAGUUGCGAGAUUUACCGGCCAGAUGGACAAACCAGGAUAAUCAGUUAAAUUUGAAUUUUGCUGAAACAGUUACUUUUUUAAGCCUAAGUAUGUCCCCAACACUAAAUGAGACAUAUUUAUAUGAAAAUAUUUUCAUUACUUAUU
This 325-nucleotide long non-coding RNA is filed under the name Rattus norvegicus (Norway rat). Its description in RNAcentral is "long non-coding RNA NONRATT033138". Lineage: Eukaryota; Metazoa; Chordata; Mammalia; Rodentia; Muridae. The record is from RNAcentral.